UCAAACCCUAAAUUUGUUUUCUUUAUGGUUAUUUCUCCUUAGAAAUCCUAACCCUAAUUGGCAUAUGAAUCGUACCAAACCCUAGUUCAUCCUGCAGUUUGUGAUCACAAACCAUGUAAAUCCUCACCCUAACUUCCAUUUGAAUCGUACCAAACCCUAGUUCAUCCUGCAAUUUGUGAUCACAAACCAUGUUCCAUGCUUUGCUUUCAUGGUUUUCGUAUAGACCUGAAUCUGUAAUAUCAAACCCAUAUUCUGAAGAAAGUGGGUAUUGAGAAUUUUGUGCUUAAUUUGAGUCUUUGAAUCUGGCAACUCAAUUUUAUUUUUAUUUAUAUUUUUUUUAUGAAAUGAAUAUCACAAACUCCAAUAUAAAGAGUCUCUGUGAUUUUAUGCAAUUCUUUUUUUCAGUUUUUUGCAGUUCUUUUUUUUUUACCAUAGAGUUGCCAUAGAAGAGAGAAGAAUCGAUGGAUCGAAGAACUAGAGGAGGCGGAGGGUUUUUUGAAGGAGCCUAUAGACUCCUUAUGCGUCGGAAUUCGGUUUAUGUCACCUUCAUUGUUGUUGGUGCUUUCUUCGGAGAAAGGGCUGUGGACUAUGCUGUUCAUAAACUUUGGGAUUACAACAAUGUUGGGAAAAGGUACGAGGAUAUUCCUGUCUUGGGAACAAGGACAUCUGAAAGCUGAUGUUUUAAUUGCUCUGCAGGUUACUUUCCAUCAAUUUGUGGAUCAAUUGAUAACUGUUUCUUGUAAUAAUAUUUGAGUGUAAUGUUGAUGAACUUCGUCUUGAGAAAUGUUGAUGAACUUCGUCUUGAAAAUGUUGAAAGAAAGCGUCUGCAUCUUUGGUGAGAUGAUUUGUAAUGUCCAUGAACUUCUUUAACAAAUUGUCAGAGCAAAUGUUGUGCAAUCUUUAUUGUGAUGAUAUCAAAGUGUGCUUGGCAACCCUUGGAAAUU
Molecule: non-coding RNA, 944 nt
Organism: Amborella trichopoda
Lineage: Eukaryota; Viridiplantae; Streptophyta; Magnoliopsida; Amborellales; Amborellaceae
Source: RefSeq, a predicted model, not a curated record